UGAAUUGAUUGGUAACAAAGUUAUCACUGUAUAUAAAAAUUGUUUUGCUAUACAAUUUAAUUAAGUAAACAAACGGAAGCAAAAAAGAAGGGAGAAAACUUGUUUGGCAAAUUGAUCAAGAUAAAAAUGACUUGAUAGGAAGGAUGAAUCCAUGUUACUACGAAGAACUAUGGAUAUUACAGUUUCUGUUUCUUAAACUAUCAUUUCAAUAAACUCAAAUCUCAGUAAACAGUAAAGAUGUUGUUUCUAAAAAUAAAAACUAUAUAUGUAACGUUUUUUUUUUUUCUUAAUAGCGUAAUUUAAGACAAUUUUGUGACCACAUAUGAAAGCGUCAUUUCAAAUCCACCACAAACAUAAAAACCUUACUGCAAUCUAUUAUUCAAAAUCACAAUAAAUCUGCAACCCUAUAUGUAAUAUCACAAUGAAGGAUAAUCUUACAAACUCCCAUCAGACACACUAUCUACACUACUACUACUUAUUACACACUCAAUCAUGUCAAAUAACGAAAAUAUUAUUGUCAUGUUCCUCUAUCUGCUAGGUUCAGAAAUCAGCAACUCCGAUCCCGACUUCAUUCCUACUUCAUCUGUAAAUAAUAAGAAGUGAGUAUAUAUAACUCAGUACAGUAAAAAGUAAGUUACAAACAUCAUAUACAAUAAAAAUUCAGAACUCAGGAGUUCGAUAUGUACUCCACCUACUUAACCUAAUACCUACCCUUGAUAAUUUAAAUAUUAUGCAUGUUAAUUGUGACUGCCCCUCAACAUCCCCUAACUGUACAAAUAUUCUCCCCCGUCACCAAUAUCGGCGAUCACCAAUAAACCAUCUAUCUCUCGACCCCUAAUAGACCACACACACACAUAUACCAUUCUUUCUCGUCACCAAUAUCGGCGACCAAACCCUUUCACGUUGGAGUCUCUCGACCAUCACCACUAUCGGCGAUCAACUUACUUUUUCUAGGUAGCGACAACCAACAUCGGCGUCCCCCAAUGCUACCCACUCAAAAAUAUUAUCAUCCUGUCCUUACUCCCCCACCUUAUCUCUACCUUAUCUUGAAGCUUUCUUAUACCUUUAACCUGUAUAUCUAAACUACACGCGUCUCUCCAUAAGCCACGCACUAACACUUAACACACUUACACCUGUAACGUUCCCUUGCCAACUACCAAAUUUACAGCAGCUAUACCAACUUAUAUACAACCCACUCUCUCACACCACACAGCUACACCACUCAUCCCCUCGCCCUACACAGAGCCACCUCCACACCUCUAUUCCAACACUUCAUUCCCACGCUCUACGGCCUCUCUUUCCUUCUCCCAAAUUUUCUGCAUCCACACACACUACUUUCUCUCUUAUACAAAUCUACCUCACUCACCAAAUCUCUUCUUCUCUCUCUCUCUCCACGGCCUACUCUAGGUACUCCACUCUCAAAUCCCGAAAUCACCUCUCCCUCAUAGACCUCACUCACAAGCAGCAUUCCUCCCUCUUUCUCUUCUCGCGGACUCCUCCUCAUACUUCCCCUCAUACUCAUACAAAAUCCUCUCUCCCACCCGGACCUCACUCACAAGCCGCAUUCCUCCCUCUCUCUCCUCUCGCGAACUCCUCCAUAAACCUUCAUUCGUGCUCACACAACAUCUCCUCCCUCUCGCGAACCUCACUCAUACACUGCACACCUUCUUUUCUCUCCUCUCGUGGUCUAGCCUCCUACAUAUGCCCCCGCUCAUACUCAACAUCUCACCUCCCUCACACACCGCACUCCUUCCUUUCUCUCCUCCCGCGGCCUAGCCUCCUCCAUAUACCCCAACUCAUACUCAACAUCUCCUCUCCCUCACAGACCUCUCUCCCAUGCCACAUUUCUUCUUCUCUUUCCUUCCGCGGUCUCCUCCACUCAUACUCACACAAAAACCUUCACCUACGGGCAAAAUUUCAAAUCCACAUCAACUAAAGAAUGAAACUUAAAAUUAUCGUACCUCCCGUCUCCAUUUUCCUCAUUCUCUUGGCUUGCUCCGUCACCGUCCUCUGUCUCCUCCUCUCUCUCUUCUCGCUCCUCUCCGCUCCGGCUCUUCUCUCUUUCUCUCGAACCUUCUAUUCCCUCCGAUCUCUCUUUUCUCUUUUCUUUCAUUUCCUCUCUUUUUUUCUUUUCCUUUUUCUUUUCUUUUCUUUCCCUCUCUUUUCUUUUUUUUUUUUCCUUCCCGUCUCCUAUUUAUACCCCACCUGUUUUCCAUCCUCUCCGUACAUCUCGACUCAUCGCAACCGUUCACUCUCUCUUCUCCAAACGACGUUGUU
RNAcentral lists this long non-coding RNA (2277 nucleotides) under Carica papaya (papaya). RNAcentral describes it as "long non-coding RNA (CPAP_LNC005974)". Lineage: Eukaryota; Viridiplantae; Streptophyta; Magnoliopsida; Brassicales; Caricaceae. The record is from RNAcentral.